Molecule: non-coding RNA, 122 nt
Organism: Xylariomycetidae sp. FL0641
Lineage: Eukaryota; Fungi; Ascomycota; Sordariomycetes
Source: the annotation of a GenBank genome assembly
GGGCUUGUGGUUUAGUGGUAUAAUACUCCCUUAGCAUCAAGAAAGCACGUUGCAAGAUGUGCUUCACGAAGCAUCCGCACCGGAAUUGGGAGUGGUCCGGGGUUCGAUUCCCCGCGAGUCCA